Molecule: ribosomal RNA, 497 nt
Filed under: uncultured bacterium
Lineage: Bacteria
Description: partial 16S ribosomal RNA
Rfam family: Bacterial small subunit ribosomal RNA
Source: RNAcentral
GAUGAACGCUGGCGGCGUGCCUAAUACAUGCAAGACGAGCGAACAGACGAGGAGCUUGCUCCUUUGACGUUAGCGGCGGACGGGUGAGUAACACGUAGGUAACCUACCUAUAAGACUGGGAUAACUUCGGGAAACCGGAGCUAAUACCGGAUAAUAUUUCGAACCGCAUGGUUCGAUAGUGAAAGAUGGCUUUGCUAUCACUUAUAGAUGGACCUGCGCCGUAUUAGCUAGUUGGUAAGGUAACGGCUUACCAAGGCAACGAUACGUAGCCGACCUGAGAGGGUGAUCGGCCACACUGGAACUGAGACACGGUCCAGACUCCUACGGGAGGCAGCAGUAGGGAAUCUUCCGCAAUGGGCGAAAGCCUGACGGAGCAACGCCGCGUGAGUGAUGAAGGUCUUCGGAUCGUAAAACUCUGUUAUUAGGGAAGAACAAACGUGUAAGUAACUGUGCACGUCUUGACGGUACCUAAUCAGAAAGCCACGGCUAACUACGUG